RNAcentral lists this long non-coding RNA (586 nucleotides) under Homo sapiens (human). RNAcentral describes it as "non-protein coding LINC00513:20". The record is from RNAcentral. Lineage: Eukaryota; Metazoa; Chordata; Mammalia; Primates; Hominidae.
CCAGCCUUGGAGAUGCAGCUUUUGUCUUGCUGAAACCUUCCAGUUAAAUUUCUCCAUCAAUUUUUCAAAUAGUAUUAUUAGCUGAGGGACUAAAAUCUGCCUGGCGUUCUUCUGAUGACAAAGGAAACACAGCACAUUCACAAACAUCUGAAGCCAACUGCAAGGCACCCGUCACUCAGCGAGAAAAGCAGAAAGGUGCCAAUUCAGAUGGCUGAGCUACUUCGCCUGGGUCCCGACCUGUAUCACCACAGGGUCACAGAAAUGGAACCUUCUCCGUCACACCUCCUGAUGGCAGUCAGCUGUGACCCGCUGAAUCCAGGACAUCAUGCAUUCCAGUUUCAUUUGCGAGAACAUUUCCAGGUCCGGCUGAAGCCUAGUGGCUCCAGCAGAGGUCUCAACCCCUUUGGGAUGCUCAGUGGGAGACAGAAUCAAGGGCCAAUGAUCCAUGACCUAGUCCUAGUGCCCAUGUCAGUUUGUCAAAGGCCCUCAGAGCAGAUUGUGUUUUCCCUGGCGGGGGCUUGACUUCUUUGCUUUAAAAAGGAUUCUUAAGUAUUUAUUGCAGUAAAAUUAACCACCUUCAAAUUUC